This 2922-nucleotide long non-coding RNA is filed under the name Podarcis lilfordi (Lilford's wall lizard). Lineage: Eukaryota; Metazoa; Chordata; Lepidosauria; Squamata; Lacertidae. The record is from RNAcentral.
AUAAUUUAUUUGAUUAAAAAAAAAGAAUUGCGUGGUAAUUGAUGCGGGAGGCGGUUUGUUUGUAUGUUGGAUUGUCUGUUUUGGGUUUUCAGACGAGGAGGGACGCAUUCGUUUCCACAAAGCAAAGACAGAACCAAGAGAAAUUAACACGUAGCCUUGAAACUGUUGGUUUCUGAUAUAGGUGGGCAGAGAACGCCGGGGGUAGACCGAAGCGGGUUGUUUGGGGUUUAGAGGGUCUCCAGCCGUUGUUGGACCACAACUCCCAUCAUCCCUAGCUAGCAGGACCAGUGAUCAGGGAUGAAGGGAGUUAUAGUCCAACUGGGUUGGCGACCCAAGUUUGGGAAACACUGCGUUAGAAACUCCCCACAGGUGGAGUGUGAUCCUCAGUUGUCACAAGCACAUACGUGGGUGGGGAGGAAAGAAAUGCAAAAGGUUGGAGUUAAAAACCAAAGGGAUGCAAUUCAACGAGAACUUAUAAGCAUGCUUACAUACACUCCGAAUUAUCACAGGCUACUUUGGUAUCCUAUUGCCAUUUACUCGCCCCGCCCCUUUUACACCCACGCACUUGAGAACUGAGGAUCGCAUGUACAGUAUACAAAAGCCAAUGCAGUGUAAUGGUUAGAGUGUCAGACGAGGACCUGAGAGACCACGGUUCAGAUGUCCACUCAGACGUGAAGCUAAUUGGGUGACCUUAAGCUAGUCACCGUCCCUCAACCUAACCUACCUCACAGGGCUGUUGUGAGGAUAAACAGGUGGAGGAGAACCAUGUAUGUCGCCUUAGACUCCUUGGAGGAAAGCUGAGAUGGAAAUGUAGCAGAUAAAUUUUAAGUAGGGAAUUGUGUUCGUCUUUGAGGUGUCACAAGACUCCUUGUUUUUUGUUGAAACAAUCUAAAAUAACUACCUCUCUGGAAACGGCUACAUUAUCCCAGGAAACCUGAUCACAACCCUCUAAAUUAGACCAGUAGAAUAAUUUUCGUAUUAGGAAGGCGGGUUUCCUGGAGAGAUCGUAGCUGCAGAAAGAUUUAGACCUUCCUUGCUAAGACGUCAGUCCUGUCAAGCUGCCAUGGCUCCCAGUCCAUGAACUCAGGGAUUGAUCGUCUUAAACAAAGAGUGUGCUGUAGAUUCACUACAGGACAAUUCUCCAAGUUGGGAGAAGAGGAGGAACCAUGACAUUUAAAUCAGGGUAAAAACUGAGUCACUCCCCCGUCCUACAACUACCUCUUUUAAUGGAAUCUUCUGAGCACCAACCCCUUAGUCUCAUAGUAUUUACUAGGCUAUCAGGGUGACUAAUUUCAAGGUGCUGAGUCUUACAGUCCUGUGGAGCUGCUGGAAAGUGGUCGUAGUCUGCAGAUUAUCUGGGGCUUUCAGAUUUAAUUCAGCCUGCCUACACACCCAACACAUACUGAAUAGAUGCCAACACCUACGCAGAAGAUAAAGGAAGGAAUAUUGUACUGUAUUUUAUUACUUUUAAGCCUGUUGUAGAUUAAUCGAGGAGGUGAGUAUGAACUGCGAAAUAAACUAGUAGCAGGUUCUUAAAAACCACGCACUGUUGUCUGCGGAACGCUCGCCCACAGUAAGCUGGAACAGACACUUCCAGGGGUGGGGAACCUGUGGUUCUCCAAAUGUUACUGGACUACAGCGUCAUUAUCCCUGACCAUUGGUCAUGCUGGUUAGGGACGAUGGGUGCUGGAGUCCAGCAGUAUCCGGAGGAUCACAGGUUCUCCACAGAAUGGUCUGUCUGGAAUAUGCAUCCAGUUAUCGUCGGUAGUCUAGCUGUGUUCCAAACGCGCUGGAGCCAUUUAGGGGGAAAGGCCGUCGGCAACUUAGGCAGGAGCCUUGCUACUCUGCUGUCUGAAAUAGGCAUCGGGCAGAAGUAGCAGAAAGACCUCCCCUUCUCCAGUUUGUUUCCAUGUAAUCCGACAUCCGAAUGAUAAACUUAUACACUGAAGAAGAAAUCGGUGCUUUACAUAUUGUAAAGCGCGCGGAAGUUUGCAGGAAGAGGGAAAAGGAACUGAAGAUAACAGGAUCCAGUCCAAACCCGCCGCUUUAAAAGAGGACCAUUGGGAUCUUCUGUGUUUGAGACAAAGAUCUGGUAUAUCUGAGGCGAAAUGAGACUGGAAAGGGUCAAUAAAUCUUGGGAUCUGGCGGCACAAGCGCCAGACACACCUUUGCACCUCCUUCUUAAGCCUGCCUCUCUGUAGAAUGCCAGGUAGGAAAGAAUGCCAGGAAUGGACCAUAGAGGAAGGGUAGGGUAGCUAUAGAUCUAUCUGGAGCAGGAAAGGGACAGAGAGAAGCUGAGGGGCUGGUGAGCAGGCAAAGCAGUUGGAAACCAAAGAAGUGGGGGACUAGUUGUAAAGAACUGCGCCCCAUUGUUCCUUCGAUCAAUUUGUGCCCAGAGCUCAGUCAAGAAACUUACUUUGAAAGAGUCCCUACUCUGAGUGAUAUGAAAUGUUGCCAAAGUGACUGGCCAAGUGCAGAGUGCUUUGACCACUUCGCCAGUGAGUUGCUCCAUACUUCCCGGAUAAAGUUCCACGGGAUGGGGUGGAGACGCAAGGUGAAGCCUUGGUGGGUCUGGAAGAAAGGGUAGAUGGAAGGAACAAGAGAAGGGCCUCCGAGCCUGAAGGACUUGAGCUCGUAGUCCUUUGAAAGCCCUGCCUGCUGGGCACUUGCCCGCGAGUCGUCCAGAGGCAACGCUAGUCACCUAUUUCCGAAGGAGAAGGCGAUGCCAAGAAGGCAACGAGGACCGCACGGUGCCUCAGUGUCAUGGUCUCCUUCACUAGUCACUGUGUCACGGUCUCCUUCACACAUAUGGCGCCCCAUAACUUAUUGACUGCGACUGACGCCCCGAUGUUACUGCUUCAUCACUAGAGCUCAGGUGGCAGGUCAUCUGACCUGAAACAAUGGCUGUCAGUGGAGCGAGUG